RNAcentral lists this long non-coding RNA (369 nucleotides) under Carica papaya (papaya). Its description in RNAcentral is "long non-coding RNA (CPAP_LNC006113)". Lineage: Eukaryota; Viridiplantae; Streptophyta; Magnoliopsida; Brassicales; Caricaceae. The record is from RNAcentral.
GAGGUGUUUUAUGAAAUUCUCUGCAGCGGUGCUGCCGGAUUUUGCCUGUAUUUUUCGACCAAUUGGCCGGUCUUUUUACUUUGAUUUGGCCAUGAGUGUGUUUAGAAUUGAAUUCUAAGAAAAAGAGAAAAUUUUAACCUUUUUUGGCAGUUGGAAAGGGCUCCGGUGUGGCGGCGGGUGGCUGCGGUCUCUUUCCCAGCGGCCGGGUCUUCUUCUCCGACGAGGGAGUUUUGCGGCUAGGGUUAGGGUUUGGUGUGGAUAGAAAUUAUUUAUAUCCGUUUGCUUUUGAUCUGGGUUGUCCAUCACGUUUGAUCUGGACCGUCCGAUCGUGAUUAAAUAGGGAGUGAAUCUGAACCGUUCAUCGCGAUU